Molecule: ribosomal RNA, 555 nt
Filed under: Clostridioides difficile
Lineage: Bacteria; Bacillati; Bacillota; Clostridia; Peptostreptococcales; Peptostreptococcaceae
Description: partial 23S ribosomal RNA
Rfam family: Bacterial large subunit ribosomal RNA
Source: RNAcentral
UUUAACUGAGCGUUCAGUUACUUGACGUAGACCCGAAACCGGGCGACCUACCCAUGAGCAGGAUGAAGCGAAAGUAAAAUUUCGUGGAGGUCCGAACCCACGAGCGUUGAAAAGCUCGGGGAUGACUUGUGGGUAGCGGUGAAAUUCCAAUCGAGCCCGGAGAUAGCUGGUUCUCCCCGAAAUAGCUUUAGGGCUAGCCUCAAGGUGAGAGAUACGGAGGUAGAGCACUGAAUGUCCUAGGGGGUAUUGCACCUACCGAAGACUAUCAAACUCCGAAUGCCGUCAUCUUAUACUUGGGAGUCAGACUGUGGGUGAUAAGAUUCAUAGUCGAAAGGGCAACAGCCCAGAUCGUCAGCUAAGGUCCCUAAAUGUAAGUUAAGUGGUAAAGGAUGUGGGAUUGCACAGACAACCAGGAUGUUGGCUUAGAAGCAGCCACUCAUUCAAAGAGUGCGUAAUAGCUCACUGGUCGAGUGAUCCUGCGCCGAAGAUUUCCGGGGCUAAAACUUACUACCGAAGCUACGGCAUCAGUAAUGAUGGGUAGGGGAGCUUCCCAUA